Molecule: long non-coding RNA, 854 nt
Organism: Spinacia oleracea (spinach)
Lineage: Eukaryota; Viridiplantae; Streptophyta; Magnoliopsida; Caryophyllales; Amaranthaceae
Exons: 2
Source: RefSeq, a predicted model, not a curated record
UAAGCCUGCUGCCAUUCAUGUUGACUCUAAUUCAAAGCUUAGUGCAGAUUCAGGUCCUCCAGUGGCGGACCCAACUCAGAACCGCAUUCUGGCAGGUGCUCUACAGUACCUUACAUUUACCCGCCCUAACAUUCACUACAAGAAACCGGGCUGUUACCGACUGAAAUUACCGACCACUAUAAAAGUAGUCAUUAAAAAAUUAUUUACCGACCAUUUUAAGAGUAGUCGGUAAUUACCGACCACUUUUAGGGUAGUCGGUAAAUUACCGACCAUUUUUUAGAUAGUCGGUAAAUUACCGACUAUAUUUUUACGUUUACCGACUGUAUGGCUAAUUUUUGUUUUUUGAAAAUCUUAGGGUAGUCGGUAUAAUUUAUUACGCUUUACUACUUUGGGCUUUCUCCCCCUAACCCUAGCCCAUAUAUAAGAGAAAAAAGCCUUAACAACCCCCCUCUCUCUCCUCCUCACAGCCGUCCUCUUUAAUUUCUUCUCUCACCUUCCUCUUCCUUCUAUCUCCUCCCAACCGUUCUUCAUAAUAUUCAAUCUCUUCAUCAUUUCUCCCUUCUUAUCAUCAUUUCAUCCUCUCUAUUAUGCAAAUGAAGAUCGGGUGAAUUCAUAAACUCAAGCUCAAAGAAGAAGAUAGAAGAGCAAGAAAUUGAAGGAGAGUUUUUUAUUGGAAUUGUUUUGAUUCAAGAAAUUGAACAAUUGAAGGAGAUUUUUUUUUUUUAUUAUUAGAAGAGCAAGAAAUUAAAGAGCAAGACAGAUCUAAAUUUGUUGAACUUUUUUUUAUUCUUUAAUUUUCAUCAUCUGUAAUUGUAUUAACUUCUUAUGAUAUAAAAUUUUGAGUUUUUUUUCAA